RNAcentral lists this ribosomal RNA (409 nucleotides) under bacterium enrichment culture clone ALO1_GLFRUDD03HCNJ9. RNAcentral describes it as "bacterial SSU rRNA". It matches the Rfam family "Bacterial small subunit ribosomal RNA", at positions 9 to 417 of the family's 1533-position model. The record is from RNAcentral.
GAGUUUGAUCUUGGCUCAGAUUGAACGCUGGCGGCAUGCCUUACACAUGCAAGUCGAACGGCAGCACGGGAGCUUGCUCCUGGUGGCGAGUGGCGAACGGGUGAGUAAUGCAUCGGAACGUAUCCUGGAGUGGGGGAUAACGUAGCGAAAGUUACGCUAAUACCGCAUAUUCUGUGAGCAGGAAAGCGGGGGACCUUCGGGCCUCGCGCUCUUGGAGCGGCCGAUGUCGGAUUAGCUAGUUGGUGAGGUAAAGGCUCACCAAGGCGACGAUCCGUAGCAGGUCUGAGAGGAUGAUCUGCCACACUGGAACUGAGACACGGUCCAGACUCCUACGGGAGGCAGCAGUGGGGAAUUCUGGACAAGUGGGGGCAACCCUGAUCCAGCCAUGCCGCGUGAGUGAAGAAGGCCU